GCACCCUCAAGAGUGUGGGAGUUCAGUGUUCUGCUGAAUCAGCAGGUCUUCAAUGAUCCUCUCAUCUCUGAAGAAGACAUGGUGACUGUGGUGGAGGACUGGAUGAACUUCUACAUCAACUAUUACAGGCAGCAGGUGACAGGGGAGCCCCAAGAGCGAGACAAGGCUCUGCAGGAGCUUCGACAAGAGCUGAACACUCUGGCCAACCCUUUCCUGGCCAAGUACAGGGACUUCCUGAAGUCUCAUGAGCUCCCGAGUCACCCACUGCCCUCCUCCUAGCUCAGGGACCCAGACCCUCCUCUCUGAGAAACUCUGACCUUCAUGUCCUCAGGCUGUGCUCCUGCCACUCUACCCUGACACCUCAAUAAAGACCAGUACUGGUUUUGUUGGA
This 391-nucleotide small RNA is filed under the name Pongo abelii (Sumatran orangutan). RNAcentral describes it as "processed transcript". The record is from RNAcentral. Lineage: Eukaryota; Metazoa; Chordata; Mammalia; Primates; Hominidae.